CAGCAGCCACGGUAACACGUAGGGUGCAAGCGUUAAUCGGAAUUACUGGGCGUAAAGCGUGCGCAGGCGGUUAUAUAAGACAGAUGUGAAAUCCCCGGGCUCAACCUGGGAACUGCAUUUGUGACUGUAUAGCUAGAGUACGGCAGAGGGGGAUGGAAUUCCGCGUGUAGCAGUGAAAUGCGUAGAUAUGCGGAGGAACACCGAUGGCGAAGGCAAUCCCCUGGGCCUGUACUGACGCUCAUGCACGAAAGCGUGGGGAGCAAACAGGAUUAGAUACCCCGGUAGUCCCUGUCUCUUAUAU
RNAcentral lists this ribosomal RNA (301 nucleotides) under uncultured bacterium. RNAcentral's name for it is "partial 16S ribosomal RNA". It matches the Rfam family "Bacterial small subunit ribosomal RNA", at positions 509 to 809 of the family's 1533-position model. The record is from RNAcentral.